This 570-nucleotide long non-coding RNA is filed under the name Phaseolus vulgaris (common bean). Its description in RNAcentral is "long non-coding RNA (PVUL_LNC003719)". Lineage: Eukaryota; Viridiplantae; Streptophyta; Magnoliopsida; Fabales; Fabaceae. The record is from RNAcentral.
GUUGCACCCCAAAAUCCUGCAUCAUAGUAAACAAUCUUUGCCCCUCACUGGUGAGUCCUGAAUGGCUACAGCCCGAAAGCAAGGCAACAAAGGUAAUCCCAUCUGGUUUGAUGCAUGACCUUAUCAUUUCAUCAAAUAAAGCCAAGGCUUCAUUUAUUUGACCAUUGGUUGAAUAUCCAGCCAGCAUUGUAUUCCAUGAUGUCAAAUCCCUGCUGCGCAUUCUGUCAAACACUUUUUCACAAUAACCAAUUUCCCCACAUUUGGCAUACAUAUCCAUCAACGAGUUUAGCAAAGGCACAUCAGCAUUCUUCCUAGACUUCAGAAUCUGUCCAUGUAUCUCCUUCCCACUAUGAAGUGCAGUAAACUGAGCACACAUUGGCAAAACAGUUGUAAGGGUAAUCCAACUGAACCCCAUUCUUUCUCCCUGCAUAACUCUAAAAGCACCAAGCGUCUCUGACACUCUAUCUUGUGCAGCUAAACCAGCAAUUAAACUGUUCCAAGACACCACGUUUCGUUGAGGCAUUACCUCAAACAUCUUUAAGACCUCGUCAAAGCAUCCAAUUUCCACAU